This is a long non-coding RNA of Anopheles stephensi (Asian malaria mosquito), 1821 nucleotides long. RefSeq lists it as uncharacterized. The record is from RefSeq and is a predicted model, not a curated record. NCBI's taxonomy places the organism in Eukaryota, Metazoa, Arthropoda, Insecta, Diptera, Culicidae. The transcript is spliced from 2 exons.
GCAGAUUUUGUUUGUUUCUAUUUAGCAACCCGGGCCCCGGGGUCCCUCCCUAUCCCAACCGUAUCCCGCGGCCACGAUUCCACGAUUGUGACGGAUUGGACGCGUUUAUCAUGACUGUACCGUCCGGCCGUGAUGGUGGAACCGGGCGAAAUGGCGCGAAACUAAUGGAGUCUGGCUGGCACAACACAACAACCACAACAAAACACGAAGAAAUCACUACAGAAUCCGGUUCGAGGAUUGUUGCAACAUGGGCUUAGGAGAGGGUUGGUGGGAGUACAAACGUACGAAAUGGAAUUUAAAAUCUUAAAAGUGGUGACGUGUGCAAGCAAAAGCCGCCAUCGCCACUGUAGGACGGAGUGGAUCGGCGAAGUGUUCGAGGUAGGGUGCAAGAAGCGGCCAGACCUAUGCCGUUGCUUGCGUUCUUAUCGCUUCGCUUCGUUGGAGUAAUGUUCACAAAUCAACCGACCAAUCCACCACCCUAUGCUUCUCACCCCCCGUAUCCAAACGCUAAGAGCGUCAUCAAGAGGCAGCGCAAAGGAGAGACUAAGAAAUCAAGUAGCGAAGACGGCGGCCCUUGCUUCGCCACCUACAAUAUCUCCCUGCCGCAUGAUAUUUCUUUCUGUCCAGAGUAUAGAGAGUGGCAGCGUGUUGGAGAUGAUGCAGAUGAGCUACAGUGUGGGAGAAACGGUUUGCUACUUGAAGCACUUGUCCAGACAGCACAAUUACAAUUUACUAUCAUUAACCUUGACCAUGGCAAUGCUACAGCGCGACACGUGGAGUCGGUUGUGUAAUGCAGCAAUUUAAAUAAAAUUAGCCAAAACAGGUCCAAUGAGCAUUAAAUCACACUUUUAACCUUGUCGAGAAAUAGGCAACCCGUGACGAAAUUAUUUGUCCAUUACACCAGGGAAACGAUUCACUUUCGAAAGCUCGCCCCUAAUGAAAAGGGAACAAGUUGUGAUUAUUUUGGAAGAAAUUUAUUGUUAAAUCAGUUCGAGGUAUUAAGUUGAUGUGAUUGAAGGGAGCAUUGAAAGUGUCGAUUAAAUUUUAUGGCUGCUUCAGGGUCAGAAUUGCGAUAAGAAAGCUGUACCCAUAUGGUGGUCCGAGGAACAGAGGACAUAGCAUUUAAAUAUAACAAACUGAAACAUUUAUAUUCUUUAGAAAAGCAAAAAUCAUAAUUACCAUCGCUACCACACCACCGUUGAGGCAUCGUCUCCGGUCUUAGUUUCCAGACGAGAAGGCUUGCCCAUCUUACUCCACGCUAUCCGCUAUCCGCAAUGCUCACGCUUAUCAGAACCACUAUCCGCCUUAUUUAGAAACUCUACUCCACCCGCGGCCCUUAACAGCAUCACCCAACCCAACCUAAGCGAACGAUCGCGUGCGUGGACGAAUUAGCUCCCUGCACGCUCGGACCCUCGUCCGACAGUUUGCUUCAAUUUACGCCAGCCACAACUACCGAGCACGGCAUCGUCACAAUGUAGCCGCAACGCCGUCACAAACUGUUCCAGAUUAAUUCGGCUCGUUUGGUGACAACGAUUACGUUCGAGGCGACCCCUAGCAUUCGGGACUAUGAUUCGAUUGGAUUCUAGCAUUCUAAGUUAAAUGAAACACUCGCUUCUGUUCUCGCUUGCGUUGCGUCUUAUCUAGGAACUAAUCUUGUGCGUAAUUUGACACGCCAAAGAACACGUGGUGGGGCAACAAAAAACUAACGGUCAUUUCAAAAUUCAAUUACGCUCAUCAUAACACAAAACUCGAUCAGAUGUACCUCGCAAGAGGAAGUGUGCUUUCGAUCAAAUUAUAGGUAAUGCAAACAAGUUGCUGCUC